CAGUUUAACGGCCGCGGUACCCUAACCGUGCGAAGGUAGCAUAAUCACUUGUUUCUUAAAUAGAGACUAGUAUCAACGGCAUCACGAAGACUAUACUGUCUCCUCCCUAAAAUCAAUGAAACUGAUCUCCUCGUGAAGAAGCGAGGAUAUACAUAUAAGACGAGAAGACCCCAUGGAGCUUUAAACGAACUUCAAUUGUUCCUACCCAUAACAUACAAAUUGAACACUCCCUGAUAGAUAGUUUUAGGUUGGGGUGACCGCGGAGUAAAACAAAACCUCCACAAUGAAUGUAAUAAAAUUCUUAUAAAAGAACUACAAUUCUAAUAAUCAAAAAUUUGACAUAAGUUGACCCAAACACUUGAUCAAUGAACCAAGUUACCCUGGGGAUAACAGCGCAAUCCAUUUUAAGAGCCCAUAUCGACAAAUGGGUUUACGACCUCGAUGUUG
RNAcentral lists this ribosomal RNA (447 nucleotides) under Leptopelis vannutellii (Dime forest treefrog). RNAcentral describes it as "partial large subunit ribosomal RNA". It matches the Rfam family "Bacterial large subunit ribosomal RNA", at positions 1920 to 2534 of the family's 2925-position model. Lineage: Eukaryota; Metazoa; Chordata; Amphibia; Anura; Arthroleptidae. The record is from RNAcentral.